Sorghum bicolor (sorghum) is the source of this 1335-nucleotide long non-coding RNA. RefSeq lists it as uncharacterized. The record is from RefSeq and is a predicted model, not a curated record. NCBI's taxonomy places the organism in Eukaryota, Viridiplantae, Streptophyta, Magnoliopsida, Poales, Poaceae. The transcript is spliced from 2 exons.
CUCUAUCUUGACACCUGCAGGGCCGAAAUGCAGAUGCAUUAGCGCUUUAUUUUGGAGAAGAUCCAGCACGAUGUCCAUUCGAGCAAGUAGUUACAACACUCCAAAACUUUGUGAGGUUGUUCACGCGUUCCCAUGAAGAGAACUGUAAGCAACUGGAUCUUGAAAAGAAGAAAGCUCUGAAGGAAGCAGAAGAAAAUUGUAAACAAUUGGACCUUGAAAAGAAGAAAGCCCAGAAGGAAGCAGAAACAGAGAAAAUAAAGAAGAAAUCUGACAGUGAGAAAGUUUGUAAGAAAGAAUUGGAAAGCGAUAAAUCUUCUAAGAAGGAAUCAGCAAAUGAGAAAGCCAAGCUAAACAACACGAGCAAAGAACUAGAUAUAUCACUUCAAUCACCUGCCCAAACUGCCAGUGCCAAAUGAUGACCAAACCAGAUGAACUAACAACAGUAGCUUUUCCAAUAGAGGAAAACUAGUUUUGGCUGCUCCCAACAAUGCUCUCUUUUGACGAAUCAUGCAGGAUAAGGGGGCCGAAAACUGCACUGGUAAGUAGGGUUAUCACAGAAUUGUCUCAAGCUAUAGAAAAACAGUUAAAGUCCUGAUCAAUAAGGUAUAUUUCAGUCUUGGAUAAGUGCUAUUGUAUAGCUUAUUCCAUAUUAAUGUCUGCUGUGCAGUUAAUACCUUCUCAGGGGAUUGUUGAAGAAAUGACCCUGGGGACAAGCUGUACAGAUCUGACAUAAGGCCAGUUUCAAUAAAGAGUUUCAUGUCCCAGUUUCCAACACAUCUGAUUUUGGAAACAACGCAGAAGAGUUUCAUAGAGAUGAAACUCUCUCUGCUCUCAUAAAACUCUUAUCACCUCUCACUUCACUAAUAUGAUGCCACAUCAGUAUAUUUAAUGCCCAUGAAACUGUGGUGAAAUCACAUUUAGACUGGUCUAAUAAUAAUUUCUCUUUUGGGUAAUAGAUAGAUCAUCCUUACAAUUUUGUCUGUCUUGAUUAGAUGUAGCUAAUGUCUGGCAUUAUUUAAAAUUAACAUAUAUAUAGAAUAACUGCUGAUGUAUGUCUAGGUAAUUAGGCUUCUUUAGCUGUUGUAAAGAUAAAGUUCAGUUCUUACAUUUUUUUUUGUUUGCUUAGUCUUUUUUUUUGGGUAGUCAGCUAAUAUUGUAAAGAUAAAUUACAAUUUUAUUUGUCUUCUUGAUCCAAGGGUUGACCCCUGCUUCGAUGAAUGGUUUAUACAUGUAAAACUCCAAUUGUGCAACUGUUCUUGUACAAAAGGUGAACAUGUCGCGAGGUCCAAACAUGCAUCAACAUGCAAAUUAAGUCUAUUUGCAGGUUCGCGAACU